This 678-nucleotide ribosomal RNA is filed under the name uncultured bacterium. RNAcentral's name for it is "bacterial SSU rRNA". It matches the Rfam family "Bacterial small subunit ribosomal RNA", at positions 8 to 694 of the family's 1533-position model. The record is from RNAcentral.
AGAGUUUGAUCCUGGCUCAGAUUGAACGCUGGCGGUAUGCCUAACACAUGCAAGUCGAACGAGGUAGCAAUACCUAGUGGCGGACGGGUGAGGAAUACGUAGGGAUCUGCCCUUAAGUGGGGGAUAACCCGGGGAAACCCGGAUUAAUACCGCAUGAUCUCGCAAGAGCAAGGAGGGGGACCGCAAGGCCUCUCGCUUUUGGAGGAACCUACGUCGGAUUAGCUAGUUGGUGAGGUAAUGGCUCACCAAGGCGACGAUCCGUAACUGGUCUGAGAGGAUGAUCAGUCACACCGGAACUGAGACACGGUCCGGACUCCUACGGGAGGCAGCAGUGGGGAAUAUUGGACAAUGGGCGAAAGCCUGAUCCAGCAAUACCGCGUGUGUGAAGAAGGCCUUCGGGUUGUAAAGCACUUUAAGUUGGGAAGAAAAAGCCUCACCUAAUACGUGAAGCCUUGACGGUACCGACAGAAUAAGCACCGGCUAACUCUGUGCCAGCAGCCGCGGUAAUACAGAGGGUGCUAGCGUUAAUCGGAUUUACUGGGCGUAAAGCGUGCGUAGGUGGUUUGAUAAGUCGAUUGUGAAAGCCCCGGGCUUAACCUGGGAAUUGCGGUCGAUACUGUCAGACUCGAAAACGGUAGAGGGAGGUGGAACUCCAGGUGUAGCGGUGAAAUGCGUAGA